RNAcentral lists this unclassified non-coding RNA (286 nucleotides) under fungal sp. RNAcentral's name for it is "partial contains small subunit ribosomal RNA, internal transcribed spacer 1, and 5.8S ribosomal RNA". The stretch from base 1 to 47 matches the Rfam family "Eukaryotic small subunit ribosomal RNA", at positions 1785 to 1831 of the family's 1831-position model. Lineage: Eukaryota; Fungi. The record is from RNAcentral.
AAAGUCGUAACAAGGUUUCCGUAGGUGAACCUGCGGAAGGAUCAUUAACACGUAUCCAUACGUAUUAUAUACCAAACCGUGAACUUGUUUGUAAAUGAGAAAGGGGAGUGUGGAAUCGGUCUUCGGAUUGAGGAAGCAUGAACUUUUGUAUCUUAUUUCAACCUUAUAAACCACUUGUAACCAUAUUGUACUAAACCUAAGAUAAUGUGAUAAGCCUUCGGGUGCAUCUCAUUUCUGUAUUUACGAAACGUAAAAACAAUUCUUAGCAACGGAUAUCUUGGUUCUC